AUGUAUGGGGGUAGUUCCACCGUGCAGCUAGAGAGCUUGCAAACUCCGUACACAACAAUGUCUUCGAGCGCAUCCGCGACCGCGAGCAUACCUUGGGGCGCUUCCUCGAGUGCAUCUGCGAGCACACCUUCGGGCGCUUCCUCGAGUGCAUCUUCGAGCACACCUUCGGGCGCUUCCUCAAGUGCAUCUUCAAGUUAUUUCUUUCAUGAUCACGUCUCAUCAGUUUGUGCUGCUCAUCACGGUGGUGCUAACACUCCCACACCCGAAGAAGAAGAGCACAAGAAGAUCCUGGAGCAGCUGAUGGUGUUCACAGUGGUGCUAAUGACCAUCCUCGGCGCUUCCCUCUUCAUCAUCGGACUCCGGCGCCUAAUCCAUGGCCGGUACACCCUGCAUCCCAUCGUGCGUGUCCUGUUGCACUCUACCCUUGUCCUGUUCCUCCCCCUCUUGUCCUAUGUCUUCUCGCACACCAAGGGGGGGCAGCAUGAGCUUCUCCUCAUGGUCCUCUGGAUGCUACUCAUAGAGCUCAUCCGCAAGAAGGUGCAAGCAAUGGUGCAACCAACUGAUGGCUCCUCCUUCUCGAGGGGCAUUGGUCGGUUCACGUUGAUGGAUUACUCUGAUGAACUGGCUCGCUUAGUGUGGAUUGGAUAUCUUAUAUACUCCCACUUAUCGGUAGGGGAAGGCAAGCUAUUGGACACCAUGUUUGUUGUCCUUUGGUCACUAGGACUAGUGAAACUAGGCCAGAGGGUGUUAAAUACCUGGAUGGCCCAGGAUUCUUUUGCUGCAGCCAAGAACGCUCACCUUAUUGCAGGAUACAUGCAACAUGUCAUGCUGCAUGAUCAGGCGAAGAAUACUGGAGAGGGUGCUGCUAGUGAGUUCCACUCCAAAACUGCAGCUGUCAUCAUGGGCACAUGCAUGUAUACGGUGAUGGGGGAGGAGAAGCUUGUUCUCACAAAAAAGGAAAGGAAAGAUAAAGGUGGUGGAGAUACCCCCGCAAAAACAAAAGGUGGAGGAGAUGCAGGCACAGUCACAGAGCCAAGGAUAUUCACUACCCCAAGCGGCUACAAUGUGGGAUACUUCCCUCAUGAACAUCAUAUUAAUCACGACCUUCUCUCCAUUGACCUCAAGAAGGUCAAGUGCUUGGUUACCGUGUCCACGAUCUGGGACCUAGCCAGAAAGGACAAGGUGCUCUUCUCAAAAGAUGCAAGGCGUCGGAGCCUCAAGAAUCUGUGCCUUUCAUAUGCUCUUUUCAAAUUGCUGCGUCGCCGGUUCGAGCAUUACCCUAUGGUGGAGGUUGGCUCAACCAUGGCGCGUGAGCUAAUGCUUGAGGGACUACUUACUCUCGACGACUGUCUCGAGAGCAGCCAUGAUGAACUCUCUAAUAUCCUUGAAAAAGAAAAAGAAGAGGAAGAAGGCCUUAAUAUCCAUCUCAAGAGCAGGAGCAGCCAUGACCAGCUCCCUAAUAAUAUCCCUGAAAAAGAAAAAGAAAAAGAAAAGGAAAAAGAAAAAGAACUACUUAAGCUUAAUGCCAAGAGGGCUUUUCAAGUUCUUCAGCUUGAGCUCAAUUUCCUUGAAAACUACUACCAAGCAGUCGUCCCUGUGGUGAUGUCUAAUCCAUUUCUUUUUGUUGGCAACUUCCUCUUGUCUCUUCUCUUUGUUGCCAUAUACCUCCUUGCCGUUGUGGCGAUGAGCCAAAACUUUGAUGAUAUAUAUUGCACAAAUCUUGGCCAACGACGACUCUCAACCCGAGAUCAGCUUAUCACCAUCUCUCUUGGGAUCAUCCUCCUUACCAUUGAAAUUAUCGAGUUCCUCUCCCUCUACUUGUUCUCCAAUUGGCUCCUGGUGCGCCUGCUGUGCUUCUACGUGCGAGCUGCAAAUCGAUGGAACAAGUGGCUUGCUCACUGGAUCAUUGUAGCCGCCAUGUGGGUUAAAAGACGUGCCUUGAGGGAUGGGGAUGCCUGCAUCAAGAUCCAGCAGGUGUCCAUUCUUCAACUUUGUGGUACUAUUGACACGUUGUGGGCACUGACUUCACAAGCACUUGCUGCCCGAGUUGUUGGGCCACAGCGGUCUGUGACGGUGAGCAUGGAAGCUAAGGUUGCCAUUGUGAAGGCCUUGAACGGCGCCGUCGACCCAAGAAAUACCGGAAGCAUUAGCUGCCCAUAUGUUAAUGGCGUUGUCGAGUGUGGCAGUAUUACCGAGACCAUCCUGGCAUGGCACCUUGCCACUGAUCUCCUUGUGUUUGAGCUUGAGAAUAAUGUAGGAGUAUCAGAUGACCAGAAGGUGGCGACUAUGCUGGCACGAUACUGCAUGUACUUGGUAGCAAACAUGCCUGAGCUGCUGGUAGAUGACCAGGCAUGGGCUGCAGAUAUAUACCAAGAUAUGAAGGACUACAUGGAAAAGUUGCCGCCGCAGUGUUGUGUUAUGACAGGAAACACAUCAAGGCGGCGACGCAUGGCGUUGAUGAUGGCCAAGAAUGCGGGAGACAUAGAAGAAAAGACGACAAAGCUGGGCAUGGAGGUGUUUGAUGGGCUCCUCAAUAAGCGAACCCAAGAAGGAGAUGCUGCAGUGUGGAAGAGUCUAGCUGAUUUCUGGACAAAACUGCUCAUCUUCAUGGCCCCAUCCGAGAACGUUCAAGGCCAUGCCAAGACAUUGGCCACCUCUGGUGGUGAGCUUAUCACCUACCUUUGGGCCUUCUGCACUCAUGCAGGCAUUUCUCGUCAGCAGGAGGAGCUCCGGGGCCAGCAGGUGUAG
Molecule: ribosomal RNA, 2748 nt
Filed under: Triticum aestivum (bread wheat)
Lineage: Eukaryota; Viridiplantae; Streptophyta; Magnoliopsida; Poales; Poaceae
Description: partial small subunit ribosomal RNA
Source: RNAcentral